RNAcentral lists this ribosomal RNA (253 nucleotides) under uncultured bacterium. RNAcentral's name for it is "partial 16S ribosomal RNA". It matches the Rfam family "Bacterial small subunit ribosomal RNA", at positions 524 to 776 of the family's 1533-position model. The record is from RNAcentral.
UACGGGGGGGGCAAGCGUUGUUCGGAAUUACUGGGCGUAAAGGGCUCGUAGGUGGCCAACUAAGUCAGACGUGAAAUCCCUCGGCUUAACCGGGGAACUGCGUCUGAUACUGGAUGGCUUGAGUUCGGGAGAGGGAUGCGGAAUUCCAGGUGUAGCGGUGAAAUGCGUAGAUGUCUGGAGGAACACCGGUGGCGAAGGCGGCAUCCUGGACCGAGAUUGACGCUGAGGCGCGAAAGCCAGGGGAGCAAACGGG